This 897-nucleotide ribosomal RNA is filed under the name uncultured crenarchaeote. RNAcentral's name for it is "bacterial SSU rRNA". It matches the Rfam family "Archaeal small subunit ribosomal RNA", at positions 380 to 1281 of the family's 1478-position model. The record is from RNAcentral. Lineage: Archaea; Thermoproteati; Thermoproteota.
CCAAAGUGCUCCAUAUAGGAGCUGUGGUAGGUGCGUAAUGUUCCCUACUAGAAAGGAGAGGGCAAGGCUGGUGCCAGCCGCCGCGGUAAAACCAGCUCUUCAAGUGGUCGGGAUAAUUAUUGGGCUUAAAGUGUCCGUAGCUGGUAAGGUAAGUUCCUGGUAAAAUUGGGCAGCUUAACUGUCCUUAUGCUAGGAAUACUGCUUUACUAGAGGGCGGGAGAGGUCUGAGGUACUACAGGGGUAGGAGUGAAAUCUUAUAAUCCUUGUAGGACCACCAGUGGCGAAGGCGUCAGACUGGAACGCGCCUGACGGUGAGGGACGAAAGCCAGGGGAGCGAACCGGAUUAGAUACCCGGGUAGUCCUGGCCGUAAACGAUGCACACUAGAUGAUGGUGCGGCCAUGAGCCGUAUCAGUGUCGUAGGGAAACCGUUAAGUGUGCCGCCUGGGAAGUACGGUCGCAAGGCUUAAACUUAAAGGAAUUGGCGGGGGAGCACCACAAGGGGUGAAGCCUGCGGUUCAAUUGGACUCAACGCCGGGCAACUUACCAGGGGAGACAGCAGAAUGAAGGUCAGGUUGACGACCUUACCUAACAAGCUGAGAGGAGGUGCAUGGCCGUCGCCAGUUCGUGCUGUGAGGUAUCCUGUUAAGUCAGGCAACGAACGAGACCCGUGCCUUUAUUUGCCAUCAAGAAGUCACGACUUCGUUGGGAACGAUAAAGGGACUGCCGUCGAUAAGACGGAGGAAGGAGCGGGCAAAGGCAGGUCAGUAUGCCCCGAAACCCCUGGGCUACACGCGGGCUGCAAUGGUGCGAACAAUGGGCUGUGACUCCGACAGGAGAAACCAAUCCCGAAAUCGCAUCUCAGUUGGGAUUGUCAACUGUAACCCGUUGACAUGAAC